CGAAAAUUUGACGCGGAUCAGUUGGCUGAUUUGGAGCUCAAGGAAUUUUUGGCGUCUGAUGAAAGUGAAAGUGAUGACGGAGAGGACCAAACAGACAAAAAGCAUAAGAAAGGAGAUAAGUAUCGUGCCUUACUUCAAUCUGAUGAAGAUGGUGAGCAGGAUGGUGGUCAGGAUAUGGAAGUGACUUUCAAUACUGGCUUAGAAGAUAUAAGCAAGCGCAUCCUGGAAAAGAAGGAUAAGAAGUCUGAGACAUUAUGGGAGGCUCAUCUGAGGAAAAAACGUG
RNAcentral lists this unclassified non-coding RNA (283 nucleotides) under Hevea brasiliensis (rubber tree). Lineage: Eukaryota; Viridiplantae; Streptophyta; Magnoliopsida; Malpighiales; Euphorbiaceae. The record is from RNAcentral.